UCACAUAUGUAAACAUUGGAUCAUGUG
This 27-nucleotide small RNA is filed under the name Bombyx mori (domestic silkworm). Its description in RNAcentral is "ovarian small RNA-25052". The record is from RNAcentral. Lineage: Eukaryota; Metazoa; Arthropoda; Insecta; Lepidoptera; Bombycidae.